Molecule: microRNA, 22 nt
Filed under: Equus caballus (horse)
Lineage: Eukaryota; Metazoa; Chordata; Mammalia; Perissodactyla; Equidae
Description: eca-miR-9159
Source: miRBase by way of RNAcentral
UCCUCUUUCUUUGCUUCCUUCU